GACACCCAACUUCUUCAAAAGAUGGUGAUGAAUCGGCCCUGUGAGAGACUUGGUGAACAGAUCUGCGAGGUGAGAAGAGGAGCGAACAUAUGAGAGUGAAAUUAGGCCGGCAAGGAACUGUUGUCUGACGAAAUGACAGUCUAGUUCGACAUGUUUAGUUAUUUCGUGCAAUAUGAAUUGCUGUCUGACUGUCCGAAUGAAGAGGAACAAGAAGUGAAAUUGGGGUAGAAAGAUAAUCAAAUAAGCGUACCAACCAAGUGAGCUCAGCCACAACUCGUCGCAUUGAACGGUAUUCAGCUUCUGCAGAAAUGAGAGAAAUGGAUGUUUGUUUUUUUGAUUUCUAUGAAAUUGGGGAUGAGCAAAGAGAGAUGUAGAACCCACUGACGGAUUUGCACGAAUUAGGGCAAGUGGCCUGGUCGGAAUCACAAAAUGCAAGGAGCUGGUAUGAAGGUGAGGAAGACAUAAAGAGCCCAAGUCCAGGAUCCUUCAAUAAAUAGCGGAGGACACGAAGUGCAGCAUUGAUAUGAGGUUGUCUAGGAUCCUAUAUGUACUGGCUAAGGUGUUGUAUAGUGUAGGAUAAAUCCGUUCUUGUAUGUAUCAAGUAAUUUAGCUUGCCCAACAAAUAGUGAUACAAAGUCGGGUAAGGGAUAGAGUCACCAGUCUGAGCAAGUAGGCAAGCAGAUGGGUCAAGAGGGCAAGAAACAGGCGACUUGUGGAGAGAAUCAAAUUCAUGCAGUAAAUCAAGGGUGAAUUUCCGCUGAGACAGAAUCAAACCAUGAGACUCUCGUAGAACUUCCAUUCCUAAAAAAUAAUGUAAGUGUCCAAGAUCCUUGAUUCUGAACUCCUGAUGUAAAAAUUCUUUCAAUUCAGUCAAUUCCUUUGUAUCAUUACCUAUUAGUAAUAUAUCGCCGACAUAUACUGCCACAAUAGAGAUAGAUAAAUAUGUCCGUUUAAAAAAACAAAGAGUAAUCGUUCAAUAAAUAUGUGUAGCCCUUGAAAUUAAGAGCAGUAGUAAGUUUAGAAUACCAUUGCCUAGAAUCUUGACGAAGUCCAUAAAUGGACUUCUUCAACUUACAAACAUGGUUAGGAGAAGGUGGUGUAAAUCCAACUAGGAAUUUCAUAUAGACUUCUUCGUUUAAAUCACCAUGUAAGAACGCAUUGUUCCCAUCCAAUUGAUAAAGACCCCAACUUUUCUUAACUGCAACAACUAAAAUGCAUCUGAUGGUGGCCAUCUUGAUCACUGGGGAAAAGGCCUCAUUGAAGUCUAUCCCCUCUCUAUGUAUAUCACCUCUUACCACCAACCUAGCCUUUAGCCUUUCCACACUACCAACCUGCAAGGUAAAGCCUUUCUACCUGGGGGUAAUUCUAUAACUUUCCAAGUUUUAUUGAGCUCAAGAGCAGCAAUUUCCUGUUCCAUGGCUUCCUACCACCCUGGGUGAUGUGCAGCCUGUGAAUAACUAAAAGGUUCAUGCAUAUUAGAUAGAGAAUUGAGCAUAUGUUGGUUAGUGCUGGAAAGAUUACUAAAGGACAAGGAUGGAGGAGAGACUGGGGCAAGAAAACAUGUAGUACUCACAUAUGAGAGGUGAAGAGCAUUACAAAUGUAAUCCUUGAGGUAUGUAAGAGGAUUGUGAGGUCUGUUAUAUUUUCUAAUUAGAGUAUCUACCAUAGGUUGAGAAACAUGUGAAGACAGUGAAGGAAAAUGGAUACUAGAAGAGGAUCAGCCUGGUGAUGAUCCAACUGGUAAUGGGCUGUUAGGGAAUAGAGUUGUACCAGGGUAAGAAGUUGGAUAAGAAACAGUAAGAGUAGGAAAAGAAGAAACAGUAGAGGUAGGAGAAGGGGUAGAAGUAGAGUAUUGGUUGUCACAUGAAACCAAAAGUGAGGAGGAUUCUGAGUUUAAGGGAAAUGAAUUGUUCAAUGCGGCUGUUGGCAGAUAAGAAGCCCCUAUAGAAUCAGAUUUGAUAGAAGCAAAUAUAAAAAGUUCCUCAUGAAAUAUUACAUCUCUAGACACAAAAACUUUUAAUGUCUUCAGAUUAACCACCUUAUAACCCUUUUUGCCUUGUGGAUAGCCUAAAAAUACACAAGGAACAUCCCUUGAGUCAAAUUUGGAUCUAUGUCUUGAAAGGGUGGAGGCAAAGCAUAGACAACCAAAACAUCUUAAAUUAGAAUAGCUAGGUUUGGUUUGAAAAAGGACUUCAUAAGGAGUCUUGAACUUUAAUACUCUAGAAGGGUAUAUGUUGAUCAAAUAAGUGGUUGUGUGCAGGCAGCCCCCCCCCCCCAAAAAAAAUGAUAUAGGUAAAUGAGAUUGAAACAAUAGAGCUCUAGAUGUCUCUAGUAAGUGCCAAUGUUUUCUUUCCACAACUCUAAUCUGUUGUGGAGCGGACACACAAUUGGUUUGAUGUAUAAUCCUUUGGGAAAGAAAAAUAUCUGUUUGAACAAUUUCAGAACCCAAUUCAAAAGCAUUAUCUGAUCUGAUUAUCUUAACUUUUGUAUGAAAUUGCCUCUCUACCAUUGCUAAAUAAGAUUUUAACACAGUGAAAGCAUUUGACUUGUUACUUAGUAAGUAGGUCCAAGUCCCUCUACUGUAGUCAUCAACUAUAAUGAGGAAAUAUUUAUAACCAUCAUAGGUAGAAUCCAUAUAGGGUCCCCAAGUAUCCACAUGGAUUAGUUCAAAGAUCCUUUUGGUUGAUAUAGAACUUGAAGAAAAAGGAAGCUUGGAUUGUCUAGGCAUAGGACAAAUAAGACAAGGAGUAAAAUGAGUAAAGCAUGAAGGAACAGAAAUAUCAGAAAUUUUCUUCAUAUUAUUCAAAGACAUAUGGCCUAACCUAUAAUACCAUAGCUUUCCUUUUUACAUUGGAAUCAGAAAAAGCAAAACAAGAAUUAAAAACUGGAACAGAAUGUAAACUCUAUCUAGGUACAUAAGUACUAAACAUAGGGAAACUUUUAAAAACUGGGGUUGUAAGUCUUGAGUAUUUGAGAAUGAAGAGUCCUCAUGUCUCCUUACCAAUCUCCAGAGGACUCUUCAGUGAAGGGCCCUGUAGCAGAAAAUAAGAAUCAGGAGUGAAAAGAACAUACUGUUGGAGUUGUUUGCACAACUUGUGCACAAACAACAGAUUGAAUCUAAAGGAAGGCACAUACAAUAUAUUGUGCAAAACUAGGUUUGGUAAUAAUUCAACAGAACCUGAAUGUGUAACUUUUACUCUAUGUGAAUUAGGCAGAUUGACUAUGACAGGUUUAGGCAAGGCUUUAUAGUUAAUAAAGAAAUUUAUGUUAAAAGUCAUAUGCUCAGUUGCUCCACUAUCUAAUAUCCAUGAUUCACUAUCAAUUUGAAUGAAACAGACAAAGGAAUUUAAAAUUUUAGUUAUACCAGCACAACUCAGAUUUGUAGAGACUUCAGAGGAUCCUGCACCUUGCUAUCCUAUGUUGACCUGUUGUAGAAGCUGCAAUAAUUGUGUCAUAUUGUCCUGGGUAAGUGACUGUGUUCCUGGUACGUUAGUGUUCCUUGGAUUCCCUCUUCAUUUAUGUUAAACACGGCAUUUGCUUGUACAUUCCCUUGAAACUUCCUCUGCUUAGUGAACUUAAAAUCUGCAGGAAAUCCAUGAAUCCUAUAUCAUUUAUCAAUAGUAUGCCCAGAUUUUUUGCAGUAAGUAAAUAUUCUAGCAUUUUUUCUAAGAUAAAAACCUCUCUCAUGUCCCUUAUUUUUAUUGAACCUUCUCCCAUUUCCCUGCUGGUUUGUAGCAAGGAAAGAUCUUGAUUCUCUUGGAUAUGCAGGAGCAGCAUGAAUCUUUCUCUGCUUUUCAUCCUGUAUCACCGGUGAAUAAGUCUGUCCAAUGGAAGGUAAGG
This 3840-nucleotide long non-coding RNA is filed under the name Nicotiana tabacum (common tobacco). Its description in RNAcentral is "long non-coding RNA (NTAB_LNC001145)". The record is from RNAcentral. Lineage: Eukaryota; Viridiplantae; Streptophyta; Magnoliopsida; Solanales; Solanaceae.